Molecule: ribosomal RNA, 497 nt
Filed under: uncultured bacterium
Lineage: Bacteria
Description: partial 16S ribosomal RNA
Rfam family: Bacterial small subunit ribosomal RNA
Source: RNAcentral
GAUGAACGCUGGCGGCGUGCCUAAUACAUGCAAGUCGAGCGAACAGACGAGGAGCUUGCUCCUCUGACGUUAGCGGCGGACGGGUGAGUAACACGUGGAUAACCUACCUAUAAGACUGGGAUCACUUCGGGAAACCGGAGCUAAUACCGGAUAAUAUCUUGAACCGCAUGGUUCAAUAGUGAAAGACGGUUUUGCUGUCACUUCUAGCUGGAUCCGCGCCGCAUUAGCUAGUUGGUAAGGUAACGGCUUACCAAGGCAACGAUGCGUAGCCGACCUGAGAGAGGGAUCGGCCACACUGGAACUGGAACACGGUCCAGACUCCUACGGGAGGCAGCAGUAGGGAAUCUUCCGCAAUGGGCGAAAGCCUUACGGAGCAACGCCGCGUGAGUGAUGAAGGUCUUCGGAUCGUAAAACUCUGUUAUUAGGGAAGAACAAAUGUGUAAGUAACUAUGCACGUCUUGACGGUACCGAAUCAGAAAGCCACGGCUAACUACGUG